GGCUGGUCCAAGUGCAGUGGUGUUUACAACUAAUUGAUCACAACCAGUUACAGAUUUCUUUGUUCCUUCUCCACUCCCACUGCUUCACUUGACUAGCCUUUA
This is a Y RNA of Callithrix jacchus (white-tufted-ear marmoset), 102 nucleotides long. It matches the Rfam family "Y RNA". From Rfam's summary of the family: Y RNAs are components of the Ro ribonucleoprotein particle (Ro RNP), in association with Ro60 and La proteins. The Y RNAs and Ro60 and La proteins are well conserved, but the function of the Ro RNP is not known. In humans the RNA component can be one of four small RNAs -- hY1, hY3, hY4 and hY5. The record is from Ensembl. NCBI's taxonomy places the organism in Eukaryota, Metazoa, Chordata, Mammalia, Primates, Cebidae.